CCUACGGGGGGCUGCAGUGGGGAAUAUUGGACAAUGGGCGAAAGCCUGAUCCAGCCAUGCCGCGUGUGUGAAGAAGGCCUUCGGGUUGUAAAGCACUUUCAGUGGGGAAGAAAGCCUUGGGGCUAAUACCCUCGAGGAAGGACAUCACCCACAGAAGAAGCACCGGCUAACUCCGUGCCAGCAGCCGCGGUAAUACGGAGGGUGCGAGCGUUAAUCGGAAUUACUGGGCGUAAAGCGCGCGUAGGCGGUCUGAUAAGCCGGGUGUGAAAGCCCCGGGCUCAACCUGGGAACGGCAUCCGGAACUGUCAGGCUAGAGUGCAGGAGAGGAAGGUAGAAUUCCCGGUGUAGCGGUGAAAUGCGUAGAGAGCGGGAGGAAUACCAGUGGCGAAGGCGGCCUUCUGGACUGACACUGACGCUGAGGUGCGAAAGCGUGGGUAGCAAACAGGAUUAGAUACCCCAGUAGUC
RNAcentral lists this ribosomal RNA (465 nucleotides) under Vreelandella stevensii. Its description in RNAcentral is "partial 16S ribosomal RNA". It matches the Rfam family "Bacterial small subunit ribosomal RNA", at positions 338 to 795 of the family's 1533-position model. Lineage: Bacteria; Pseudomonadati; Pseudomonadota; Gammaproteobacteria; Oceanospirillales; Halomonadaceae. The record is from RNAcentral.